UUUCGAGGGGGGACUCGAUUUGUCACCACACCGGACGAAUUUAGGAGACGGACUCGCGCGUGCGUACAUGUUUGUGGGAGGAGCCAGCACCGAAACACGAAAAUUAUUAAUGAAAUCAUUAUAUUGUAAGUAUAGGCGUUUGUAUGGAGGUCUCUCUCGUUUUCAGCUCCUCUUACAUACCAUAAAAGGUGUGAGAAACAUGCUACAAUGAAAGAAAAAAACGGAAAAAUCAAUAACUGCACAAACAGACCACACCCUCUAAAGUUUCUGGAACAAGAUUCAAACUGAUUUUAUAUUUCAGGAAGAGACACUAAUAAGCUGCACAUGAUACGCCUAAAGGAAGCUGCACAAGAGUUGUCAUGGAAAUCUUACCAUUUGAGGAGGUGGAGCGUGUUGCUGGUGCCAAAAUACAGCUGCAGCAAGGUGGUGUCACUGGUAUUCAACAGUAUGGCUAUUACAACAUCAUCUCUGCACCUCAUCAAGGUUUCUCAGAAGACUCCAGUGAUGAGGAUGACUACAUGGCACCACUGGCACCUAAAAGUGAGGAAGGCUCUGUGUGCUGUGUUUGUGAAGAAAACAUCCCCUUACUGAACAAACUGAUAGAGCACUUCAAGACGCACACAGCUGAGGUGUAUUGCCACCUGUGUCGGACAAAGUUUGGACGCGUUAUGUCGCUGGCGAUACACUUAAAAAAUGCCCAUCCAAGGCACAGUUUCAUGUGUGGAAUCUGCAGAACUCUCUUUAGGUGCACAUGGCAUCUGAAUGGACAUAUGGAAAAGCAUCAGAAAGAUGCAAUGGAGGUAAAACCUGUGGUUAAAAUGGAACAGACAGAAGAAAUCAGCAUCAAAGAGAACAUAAGAUACACUGAUAUGAGAAAAAUAACCUUGAGGGAUCAUUCAUAUUGUGUCUCAGAUCAAGUAGCUACAAAUGACACUUGUAAUGCCAUCCAGAAACACAUCGACAAUGAUACAAACUCCACAAAUCAAGUGUCACACAUCAAAACACAAACCGAAAGAUUGCCUAUUAUUGACAAACAAAACGAUACCUUGAGCUUUUCCUCAUGCCCUUUGAAUCAAUCAGAGCAAGAGCAUCUAAGCUUUAAACUGAAGGAAGAGGAUGAGGAUGAGGAUGGGCUCGGAGAAACUGCAGCUUGUGAGGUGGCUGCAGAGGAGGAAACUGGACUGAUGGAGGAUGACGAAAGUACCGACACUGAUGAUGAUGUCAACACUGACUCACUACCCCCUGGUGACACGGCGUACAACCUGGAUGAGGACUUCAGCUCAGAACCUAAUGACAGUGACUCAAGAAGCAGCUCCUACGGCCAUCACCAAAAGAGACGAAAGAAACAGACUCCCGACAGUAAAAGACCUGCAAAUAGGAAUCUAGAGUCAGUUGACAUAGCAGAGAAAUUUGGGUUUCAGUUCGAUUCUCCCUUUUGCUGCUAUGGCAAAUUCGCUAAUUUGGAGAAGCACAUCGAUGAUUGCAGGAUCAAACUGAGAUUUGCUUGUUGUCUGUGCAGCAUGGUAUGUGAGAAUGAAGAGUUGCUGCUGAAGCACACGACUGAAAAACACCCCGCAGCUGGGUAUUUCUGUGCAUACUGCCACAGUGUUUUUCCUAGACUGGACAGUUACAAAAAUCAUGUCUGUUUGAGAAGACCAACAGGCAGCAUGAACUUGCCGGCCACCGUGCUAACCCAGUUACCUGUCGUGCCUUUAUCCGGUCAAGUAAGACCUUCUGCUCCUGCUUUGUAUGCCAAUCAAAACUCCAUUAAAAUGAUCAAAAUAACUCCGGCAGUGAAUAAAAUUUCCCUAGCCCCUGAUCCUCCACAUUUGACGCUGCAGCAAUUGCUUCAGACAACUCCUUUGGUUCCUGCUAAGGUGACAGAUUUGGUUCCACAAUUUGUGGCUGUGCCGCAAACUCUUAUCAGGCCCCAUUUCCCUCAAAGUUCUUGUGUCGCUCGUCCGAAAGUUCCUGUCCAUAUACCUUCAGUAGUGCGUCCCUUGAUGCCGAAUCUGGCCAGGAUGACUCUUCGUAUCCCUACCCCUUCCAAUCCACCUUUUCCAAGUCAAGUCGUCGUAUCCUUCUCACCCACAGUGAACGUCUUAGCACCCUGUCUAGUUUCAACCAACAGGCCUGUUCUGAGACAAACGCCUCCUGCUAAUAUUAGACCCCUACCUGUAAACGUCCCGCUGAUGACCUCAGUCACUUGUCCCACCCUGGUCAUUGCUCUUACUGACCACAACCAGCCACAGAUCCCUCCUGCCCAGGUUCAGGCUCCGUUACAAAUAGUGGCCAUGUUUGUGAACCAAAGCAGGGAUUUGGCUCUGCAGAAGCGACCCGAGCAGAGCUGGCGGUCCAAGACCAUCUUCCCCUGCCGCCACUGUGGUGCCGUCUCAAGACAACCGUCGCUGAAGGUGCGUCACCGCUACUUACACCGUGGGUCAAGGUUGUACAGAUGUCAGUGUGGAAGGUCGUUCCAAAGGCAGCUGCAUUUGCUGAGACACCAGGUCCAGCAUGCGGAGUCAGUCCGAUUUGUUUGUGCACGGUGCGGAAAUACAUUCGAAGGGGCGCAUAAAUUGACCUGCCACAAACGGAAGCAUAGAAAUGGUAGGUGGUGUGUGAAGAAGAAAUGCAAGGCGGCUUUUGACUGUAGCUGUGGACAGAUGUUUACAAGGCCAUCUGCACUGUUGUGGCAUAUGCUUAAAAACUCGAAACUUUCAAAACACACUCGAAAAAAUUCACAAUCUGUCUCUGUUUGAAUUGUUUGUGUAAAUGAGACACACAUAAGAUUGAAAACUCACCUUUCAAUCAACUGCAAAUAGUUUUUUUUUGUCUUUGGCCCUAAUUGAUCUUUCUGUGUUAUUAUGUGGUCAACAGUAGUGUAUCUGAUUUUUUUUGUUUGUUUUUGUUUUUUUUUUCCAAAUCCAUAAUAGCACAAAUAGUAACAUUUUAACCCUAAAGAUAAGUUUUGUAUCAGAAGAAAUGUGAUGUGAGCACUGGUAUAAUUUCUUUAUCAUUUUUUUUCUUUGUCAUAAGAUGGAUGUGACUACUGAAAGAAUGCUUAGUGAGAGUAUAAGUAUUUAAGCAAGCUCUCAUUUAUUAAUGACCAAAAACACACUUUUAAAAAUUUUUUAUAGGGGUUUUGUGUUGUAAGGUAAUGAUUCAUUCUAACCCAUUUGUAAUAAAAAAUUGUACAUAAAUACACAGAGAAAUGUUCUGUUUUUUAAAGCGUUCUCGUCAUCAUGUAGUUGGGAAAACACAAAAUGAUGUUAACAUGAGAUGGCUUUAUUAAAAUGUGCAAAAUUAAUGCUGUAAACGUUUUUCCGUCAUUUUCUCCUGCCAUUUGUUUAUGUAUAUUUCACAAUACAACAUGCAAAACUGAAUUCCUGAUCAACUUAUCUUGAUUCUGAAGCGAUAAAAAUGUUCUGGUUUGCUUCACUAUGUUCCUGGAUAAGCAGCAACAGUUAAUGAUUGGUGAAAUAAUGAGUCGUGUGCUAUUCAUAUGCUUCCCUCCUACCAGCAGUUUCAAAUAUGCGAAGACAGCAGUAAAACUAAGACAAAGUUCCUGUUUGUUUAUAAAAAAAACUACAUACAACAGACCUGACCUCUUUUCUUAUUCCCAUUGCCCUCAUAUAAUCAUUAUACUGCAUACACAUCUAGCUAUUGAGUCUAUUUUGAAAUUAUUAUUU
This 3689-nucleotide long non-coding RNA is filed under the name Sinocyclocheilus anshuiensis. Its description in RNAcentral is "lncRNA (ENSSANG00000032983.1)". The record is from RNAcentral. Lineage: Eukaryota; Metazoa; Chordata; Actinopteri; Cypriniformes; Cyprinidae.